RNAcentral lists this long non-coding RNA (318 nucleotides) under Mytilus galloprovincialis (Mediterranean mussel). The record is from RNAcentral. Lineage: Eukaryota; Metazoa; Mollusca; Bivalvia; Mytilida; Mytilidae.
UGGGACCCGAUAUUCACAAUCAUACAAAAUGUGUGUACCAUAGUUCUUAUUUCAUUCGCAUUAUGUGGUAUUUAAAUGUACUUGUGGUUGACAAGUAUAUAUACACUCCAAGUUCACUCUGCCUUGCUCUUGGUCUCACAAAACUGUUUAAACUGUUAGUAUUAUUUAAACUAUUCUCCUGUUUACAAUAUUAUAAUUUUUGCACAUGCAUUCCUUCAUUUACAUGCACUUCUCCUUGUAAGAUUCCAAGGUCAUGAUCAAUUAAUCCUGUUGUUCAUAAUCAACAAUCCUAUCCUUUGAAAAUUGUCUAAGGCAGCU